Nycticebus coucang (slow loris) is the source of this 130-nucleotide small nucleolar RNA. RefSeq annotates it as small nucleolar RNA SNORA42/SNORA80 family. NCBI's taxonomy places the organism in Eukaryota, Metazoa, Chordata, Mammalia, Primates, Lorisidae. The transcript has a single exon. The record is from RefSeq and is a predicted model, not a curated record.
GCAGAGAUAGAUUAAUUUAGUUAUAGAAAUACCAAUUAUGAGUGCCCCAUGCCAGAGCAAACCGUGGCCCUGAACCAUUGCCUGGCCUCUGUGUCCAUAGGCUGCUGGCACUGAAGUGGGUUGCACAGAG